CUUACGGAAAAAUUUCUGUAAGCCAGAAAUAGGAUUUUCGAGUUAUGGAAAUUUUUGCGUAAUGUACGGGUAUAUGUUUCUAACUUACGCAAAUUCGAAUUAUGCAAGGCUUUCCGGAAUGGAAUGAUUGCAUAAGUCAGGGGGCUGUUUAUUUUCAUUGUGGAU
Molecule: long non-coding RNA, 165 nt
Organism: Dermochelys coriacea (leatherback sea turtle)
Lineage: Eukaryota; Metazoa; Chordata; Testudines; Dermochelyidae
Exons: 3
Source: RefSeq, a predicted model, not a curated record